UACGUAGGGAGCAAGCGUUGUCCGGAAUCAUUGGGCGUAAAGCGCGCGUAGGCGGCCAGGUAGGUCUGCUGUGAAAACUCGAGGCUCAACCUCGAGAUGUCGGCGGAAACCAUCUGGCUAGAGUCCGGAAGAGGAGAGUGGAAUUCCUGGUGUAGCGGUGAAAUGCGCAGAUAUCAGGAAGAACACCCGUGGCGAAGGCGGCUCUCUGGGACGGUACUGACGCUGAGACGCGAAAGCGUGGGGAGCGAACAGG
RNAcentral lists this ribosomal RNA (253 nucleotides) under uncultured bacterium. RNAcentral describes it as "partial 16S ribosomal RNA". It matches the Rfam family "Bacterial small subunit ribosomal RNA", at positions 524 to 776 of the family's 1533-position model. The record is from RNAcentral.